RNAcentral lists this ribosomal RNA (292 nucleotides) under uncultured bacterium. Its description in RNAcentral is "partial 16S ribosomal RNA". It matches the Rfam family "Bacterial small subunit ribosomal RNA", at positions 505 to 796 of the family's 1533-position model. The record is from RNAcentral.
GUGCCAGCCGCCGCGGUAAUACGUAGGUGGCGAGCGUUGUCCGGAAUUACUGGGUGUAAAGGGCGUGUAGGCGGGGAUGUAAGUCAGAUGUGAAAUUCCAAGGCUCAACCUUGGCGCUGCAUCUGAAACUAUGUCUCUUGAGUGCUGGAGAGGAAAGCGGAAUUCCUAGUGUAGCGGUGAAAUGCGUAGAUAUUAGGAGGAACACCAGUGGCGAAGGCGGCUUUCUGGACAGUAACUGACGCUGAGGCGCGAAAGCGUGGGGAGCAAACAGGAUUAGAAACCCCCGUAGUCC